This 250-nucleotide ribosomal RNA is filed under the name uncultured bacterium. RNAcentral's name for it is "partial 16S ribosomal RNA". It matches the Rfam family "Bacterial small subunit ribosomal RNA", at positions 524 to 773 of the family's 1533-position model. The record is from RNAcentral.
UACGGAGGGUGCAAGCGUUAUCCGGAUUUAUUGGGUUUAAAGGGUCCGUAGGCGGACCUGUAAGUCAGUGGUGAAAUCUCAUAGCUUAACUAUGAAACUGCCAUUGAUACUGCAGGUCUUGAGUAAAUUUGAAGUGGCUGGAAUAAGUAGUGUAGCGGUGAAAUGCAUAGAUAUUACUUAGAACACCAAUUGCGAAGGCAGGUCACUAAGAUUUAACUGACGCUGAUGGACGAAAGCGUGGGUAGCGAAC